CUGGAACUCACUUUGUAGACCAGGCUGGCCUCAAACUUAUAGAGAUCUGCCUAUGUCUGCCUCCUGAGUGCUAUAAU
RNAcentral lists this microRNA precursor (77 nucleotides) under Mus pahari (shrew mouse). RNAcentral describes it as "miRNA (MGP_PahariEiJ_G0007538.1)". Lineage: Eukaryota; Metazoa; Chordata; Mammalia; Rodentia; Muridae. The record is from RNAcentral.